AAAAAAUAGAAGCUCUUAUUACUCAAGGAAACCUUUACAAGUGCUUUGAGGACUCACUUGUUUGGUGCCUUGGCCAAAUAAGGCCUUCACCUAUUUAUAGGCACCAAUGGAACUCUUUGGAACCUUGGAGGGUUCCUUACAAUUCAAGAAUAUUCUAGAACACCCUACACCAUUCUAUGUACAAACCUAUAUACAAGAAUAUACAAGAGACCUCUGGA
Molecule: long non-coding RNA, 218 nt
Filed under: Vitis vinifera (wine grape)
Lineage: Eukaryota; Viridiplantae; Streptophyta; Magnoliopsida; Vitales; Vitaceae
Description: long non-coding RNA (VVIN_LNC000816)
Source: RNAcentral